Molecule: ribosomal RNA, 404 nt
Filed under: uncultured bacterium
Lineage: Bacteria
Description: partial 16S ribosomal RNA
Rfam family: Bacterial small subunit ribosomal RNA
Source: RNAcentral
GACGAACGCUGGCGGCGUGCCUAAUACAUGCAAGUCGAACGCAGUGGGGACGGGUGCGUAACACGUGGCUAACCUUCCCAUCAGAGGGGAUAACACUUGGAAACAGGUGCUAAACCGAUAUUGAUGGAUGGACCCGCGGUGCAUUAGCUAGUUGGUGUGGUAACGUCGCACCAAGGCCACGAUGCAUAGCCGACCGGAGAGGGUGACCGGCCACACUGGGACUGAGACACGGCCCAGACUCCUACGAGAGGCAGCAGUAGGGAAUCUUCGGCAAUGGACGAAAGUCUGACCGAGCAACGCCGCGUGAGUGAAGAAGGUGUUCGGAUCGUAAAACGCUGUUGUUAGAGAAGCGGUAUCUAACCAGAAAGCCACGGCUAACUACGUGCCAGCCGCCGCGGUAAUAC